GAACGCCUUGACUACACUCUGAGAUUUACCAAACCUUUGCAGUGGUUCAUUUCAAUUUUUGUACAAGGCAGAUUAAUCUAAUACUGGCCCUCUACUCACCGCGACACCUCAGCCUCAGGCUAUAUGGGUGUAGUGGUCCAUGAAUAAGGCCUACAU
This 156-nucleotide small nucleolar RNA is filed under the name Ustilaginoidea virens. RNAcentral describes it as "Small nucleolar RNA snR80". It matches the Rfam family "Small nucleolar RNA snR80". Lineage: Eukaryota; Fungi; Ascomycota; Sordariomycetes; Hypocreales; Clavicipitaceae. The record is from Rfam by way of RNAcentral.